CCCUUAGCCUGAGUCCCUUAGCCCGAGUCAGCUGGCAUGGGCCAGCCAUGGGUUUUUAAUUGCAGUGUAGACACACCCUUGGAGCCAGCAGGCUAGUGCACUGUAGAUUGACACCCCAGCGUGCUGUGCACUAACUCUCUGUCUAGACAAGCCCUAAUAUUCUGCAGUCCUUUCCCUUUCAGCAUUAUGCCUCCGUGUGAAACAAUAUUAUUGCUAUUUUUGUAGGCAAAAUUAGGAUAUAAACAUGUUAAAAUAUUUGGCAGUAGCUCAUGAAAUAAUAGAAUACAGUUUUGGAACUGGUGAAUCCAAUAUACUGUAGAUGCUGUAACGGGAUAGAAGAAAUGGAGUUAAUGCAAAAAAAAAAAAAAGAGAGAGAGAGAGAAAAAGAUCUAGAUACAUCUCAUUAACAGCUUAGUGCUGUAUUUGCAUUUUUGUUUAAUACUCAAAUAUUGAAGCACUGCAGAUGAGCCAUAACUUUAAAUUCUCUAAAAAAUAAAUAAAAAUUAGAUAAAUGCAGAUGAUAUGCAAAUAGUCACCUGGAACCAGUCUAUUGUUCAGCAGUUAACGAGAGCGGGAAAGUGAUGCAGGUGCUCAUGAAAAGCCUUUCCUAUAAGACUGUAUGCCAAUGCAUAAGUUCCUUCUGAAUUUUUCCUUGAAUUUAUUAUACAGGAUAUAUGAGGUUGGCUCAUUAACUGGGAGAAGUUGAUGCAUCGGUAGAUGGGGAAAUACAUGCAGAAAACUGCAACCAUAUAAAGAGCAGACAAACACAGUAUAAUUGCACAAUACUUGGGCUAUUAUACGAAAAAAGAAAUAACCUUUUCUAUUUCCAGUUUUGCUUGAUUAUCGAAUAAAAUAGGAAUAUCACCAGCACUUAGGAUAGUAUUUAGAUCUUCUAAAAAUGACUCCUCCUAGAGCAGAAGAGACAGUUUCUUCAUUUAUACCCCAGAUUACAAAAGCAUUUUAAAAAUCACCUGUUCACUUUCAGUUUAUUUCCUGUCCCGAUAUUCCUGGAUUGGUUGUUAGUUAUGAAAGAGAUUUAUGCUUUAAAACCAUCGUAUUUAUUUCCUUCCCUUUAACAAGUAACUAUAAAAUAAGUAUAAUUUUCCUACUGUGCAUUUUGAGUGUCAGAAUAGGCAAUUUAAAUGUGAAGCUUCAAAACACUAUUAAUGCUGCAAUUUUGUGACAAAACACCUCUCCAUUUUCAGUGCUUCUUGCUCUAUUUCUUCAUUCCUAAUGAUUUAUUGUAUUAUUUCUUUGACUGUAAUGGUUAGGGCCCUAAGUGAUAGGCUUAUUUUUAUAUUUCCCUCACAAAUUAUUUUAUUUUAAUCAUGGCUGCUUCUGCCUUUAUUUGUUGAUCAGCAAAGGGGAACUGAGUGGAAGUCCCAUUUUCCCCAGCACCUUUGUGAGAUUGUCUCUCCAUUCACUCACUGUGUAUGAAACCUGAAUACUAAGAUGGUAGAGCUCGCAGUUUGCCAUAAAUGUCUCCAGUCUCGUUACAGAGUGCCGACCACUGCCUUCCAUACCUGAUGACAAGAGGGAAAAACUGUCACAAUCACUAACAUGAAAAUGCAAGUAAUGAUAGAGAUUAGAGAGUUUGUUGAUCAUUAGCUCUAAAUCCUUCAAAUGGAAUGAAUUCAGUUUCAACAAAAACACUGUUGUUCAAUAAGCUUACCCAUCUCUGCUUUCCUCACAAAUAUACUACAAGCACAAGUAACCUCUCAGUACUCAGUGUGUGGUAUAUACAACUGCAGGCUAUGGGAUAAUGCAUCUGCCUCACUGAGGUAAAAUGUAAAUUAUCCAGCAACCUGCUGCUGUUUGAAGAUAUCUAAAGACCAUUUAAAUUUUAAAUAGGCAUUCAAAAUCCAGAGGACAUACCACCAUGCCUACUUUAUAAAUAUAUUUGCACUGAAAACAUUCAUGGAAGAAGGCAUUGAACACACUGGACAUUUAUAGAAGUACAAUGUACUUUCAGUGUACUUUGACAGGUUAAAAGGGAUGACUAACAUACAAAAAAUUUAGCCUGAAAACUAGGACAUCUGUAAAAAAACAAAAUAUGCACCAUUUACAUACACACACUGUGUGUGAGAAAUAAUUUUGUGUAUAUAAUAACACUAAUAAUAUUUAGCUCUUGCAUACUACUUUUCAUAAUUCAACCUCAAUUAAUUAUUACCAUCAAUAUUCCCUUUUACAGAAGGGGAAACUAGGGCACAAAGACUUGAAGUAGCUUUUCCAAGGUCAUGCAGCAGGUCCAUGGUAGAUCCCAGGUCUCCUGGUCCCUAAUCACUACCUCCUCGACAUGGCGGCUAUAAAUGCAUUUUAGCAAGGAUGUAUAGCCACUAUUAAAGCUAAAAGCAUAUUUCUCUCUGGAUCAACUGGCCUGUAUCCCCAUGAAGAAGCGUAAGCAGGCCUAAAAAAUGAUAGUCCUCUAGAGUGCACCUGAAUAAGGGACUCCCAGUCCCAUGUCUUUGAAACACAGCUCUUAAGGGCUCUGGGUAAUGAAGUCCAUAGAGUGCCACAGGGGGCCUGGUUCCUUGUGUGAAUGCCCUGAGAGGUGGAAAAUUCUUUGUAGGUCUCAGGACGUCUAUGAGUUGGGAGGGCUGUGCCCCAUGCUCACUCCAUAUGUGGCCAGAUUCUAGCCAUACUUAAUGACAUGUCUGAAACUCUGUUGUCUCAUGACCACCAUUUUCUAAUACCUAGCUUUCAGUCUCCCCUGGGUUUUAUUGUAGGGAGACCUGAGUCUUCAGAGAGGCUGAAACAACAGACUUACAUUUGUAUAAGCGAAAUAUUAAAUAAAUGUAAUUUUUUUUAGAGAGUUCAUUUGAAAGAACCCAUCAACUAAAAUUUGUUUCCUUUGUCCAAAAUAGCCACCUUUGUGUUCUCUGAUUGCUGCCAUCAGUCACAGGUCAUCCCAUCUCGGCCAUCGCAACCCAUCCCUGACACCCCUUUCUCCACAACACACACUUUCACUUUUUAGUUCAUUCAGAUUGGUUAUUUCAUUGUAAGGCUGUUCUGACUUUUCAUUCAUCUUUGAAGAUACAGAAUCAUAUCGGAAAAGGCUGCACUUCAUAUCAUCUCCUAUCCAGUGCCCAAUAAACAAAGAGAAUGCAAGGUUGAAGAAGUCCACCUUGCAGCUGGAGCAGAAGGAGUUACUCUGCUGAGAAGUUACACAUUGCUCUUUCCUGUGGAGAAAAUUAAAAACAAGCUUUCUGGCAGUUCCAGCUCUGCAGCACAUUCUAGAUACUGAAUUGUGUCAUACUGUUUAAAAGACAGACUACAAUACAUCUCCUGAAAUGGAAGAAGCUGUGACUUUUUAAGUGCAAAGGGAUCAAUGAAAGGAUGACAGGAAUAUGGACUUGCCUGAGACUGCUCUUGACACACAAACCCGGACACUGUUACUAGCUGUAGCAUACUGUAAGAGUCGGUAGUUUAUGACUGAGAUUAAAAACUAUAAACAUGAAUAUGGCCAAAUAG
This is a long non-coding RNA of Chelonia mydas (Green sea turtle), 3471 nucleotides long. RefSeq lists it as uncharacterized. The transcript is spliced from 3 exons. The record is from RefSeq and is a predicted model, not a curated record. Lineage: Eukaryota; Metazoa; Chordata; Testudines; Cheloniidae.